GACGCGGUCAGCGUGCGGCAGCUGCAACU
RNAcentral lists this small RNA (29 nucleotides) under Bombyx mori (domestic silkworm). RNAcentral describes it as "ovarian small RNA-15569". Lineage: Eukaryota; Metazoa; Arthropoda; Insecta; Lepidoptera; Bombycidae. The record is from RNAcentral.